Non-coding RNA from Acanthosepion pharaonis, 112 nucleotides. The record is from the annotation of a GenBank genome assembly. Lineage: Eukaryota; Metazoa; Mollusca; Cephalopoda; Sepiida; Sepiidae.
AUGGCCACAUCAUAUUGAAACACUGUUCCCCAUAAUAUCACUGAAGUUAAGCAACCUUGAGCCUGGUUGGUCCCUAGAUGAGUGACCGCUUGGGAAUACAAGGUGCUGUAAG